This 1014-nucleotide long non-coding RNA is filed under the name Salmo salar (Atlantic salmon). RNAcentral's name for it is "lncRNA (ENSSSAG00000105647.1)". The record is from RNAcentral. Lineage: Eukaryota; Metazoa; Chordata; Actinopteri; Salmoniformes; Salmonidae.
GUUUACUUACAAUUGUGGCCUAUUCACUCAUGUACAAUCGAGUGUAAAAAUUCUUAGUAUAUGGCCACUUGUGUUAAGCUUAUUCCAAGGUUGAAACUAAUUCAAUAUUUUGUUGGUUAAUUUGAGUAUUCCUUGCUGGUAUUGUGGAAGAGCUUUGAACCUCUUUCUGGAUAACAUCGAGGGCCACUGCAAGUAAUCACUCUGUACCAGUACUUGAGGUUUAAAUAACUAAUUUGAUAUAUUUGUUAUGUACAAGGCUGUUUACACAGGUAGCCCAUUUCUGAUUGCCCCCCCCAACUAAUUGGUAUUUUCAGCAAUCGCAUCUUUUUCAGCGCUGAUCUGAUUGAUCAAAAUACCAAAUAAAAGAGAAUUUGGCUGCCAGUGUAAACUAGGCAUACUUUACCAAUUUUUGCAUACUUCAGCCAUUUCUGGUUUAGGAAGAAGGAAAAAACGUUAGUGCAGACAAUCCUUUCAAAGUGCAAUUGAUCCUGAUUAGUAGCAAAUUGCAUGCAUGAUGCUCACCCACACAUUGAGUGGUGUCCUAAUAUCCCCUGAAGUUUACUAUAAAAGGGAAUGAGCGAGUGAACACUUUGGGAGGAAAGAAUUGGGAUGUAGCAAGGUUUUUUCAACUAGGUGGGCACAGAUGUCUUUGUAGUUUGUGAUAAUGAGAUUCAAAGUAACAACUAGGCGUUAGAAAGAUGGGAGUAACAGGAUGUGGUGAAAUUAACUCCUGAUCUUUGUGCAUUUGAAAUGUUUAUAAUACUGCCUCAAAAUGUACAAUCACUUCAGUAAUUACAUUUGAUUUGAGAGGUGUCUGAGACAGGCCUAUACUGAACAAAAAUAUGAACGCUACAAUUUCUAAGAUUUCACUGGGUUACAGUUCAUAUAAGGAAAUCAGUCCACCGAAAUAAAUUAGCCCCUAAUCUAUGGAUUUCACAUUCCUGGGCAGAGGUGCAGCCAUAGGCCCACCCAAUCAGAAUUAGUUUCCCCCCACAAAAUGGCGUUAUUACAAAC